This 450-nucleotide ribosomal RNA is filed under the name uncultured bacterium. RNAcentral's name for it is "partial 16S ribosomal RNA". It matches the Rfam family "Bacterial small subunit ribosomal RNA", at positions 354 to 796 of the family's 1533-position model. The record is from RNAcentral.
GUGGGGAAUAUUGGACAAUGGGCGAAAGCCUGAUCCAGCCAUGCCGCGUGUGUGAAGAAGGUCUUCGGAUUGUAAAGCACUUUAAGUUGGGAGGAAGGGCAGUAAGUUAAUACCUUGCUGUUUUGACGUUACCGACAGAAUAAGCACCGGCUAACUUCGUGCCAGCAGCCGCGGUAAUACGAAGGGUGCAAGCGUUAAUCGGAAUUACUGGGCGUAAAGCGCGCGUAGGUGGUUUUGUAAGUUGGAGGUGAAAUCCCCGGGCUCAACCUGGGGACGUCCUACAAAACUGCAGGACUAGAGUACGGUAGAGGGUAGGGGAAUUUCCUGUGUAGCGGUGAAAUGCGUAGAUAUAGGAAGGAACACCAGUGGCGAAGGCGACUACCUGGACUGAUACUGACACUGAGGUGCGAAAGCGUGGGGAGCAAACAGGAUUAGAUACCCGAGUAGUCC